This 468-nucleotide ribosomal RNA is filed under the name uncultured bacterium. RNAcentral describes it as "partial 16S ribosomal RNA". It matches the Rfam family "Bacterial small subunit ribosomal RNA", at positions 28 to 507 of the family's 1533-position model. The record is from RNAcentral.
GACGAACGCUGGCGGCGUGCUUAACACAUGCAAGUCGAACGGAAAGGCCCUGCUUUUGUGGGGUGCUCGAGUGGCGAACGGGUGAGUAACACGUGAGUAACCUGCCCUUGACUUUGGGAUAACUUCAGGAAACUGGGGCUAAUACCGGAUAGGAGCUCCUGCUGCAUGGUGGGGGUUGGAAAGUUUCGGCGGUUGGGGAUGGACUGGCGGCUUAUCAGCUUGUUGGUGGGGUAGUGGCUUACCAAGGCUUUGAAGGGUAGCCGGCCUGUGAGGGUGACCGGCCACAUUGGGACUGAGGGACGGCACAGACGGGUAAGGGAGGCAGCAGGGGGGAAUACUGCACAAUGCACGGAAGCCUGAUGCAGAAGCGCCGCGUGCGGGAAGACGGCUUUCUGGGUAAAAACAGCUUUCGCCUUUAACGAAGCGUGAUUGACGGUAACGGGUAAAGAAGCACCGGCUAACUACGUG